RNAcentral lists this ribosomal RNA (486 nucleotides) under Neolebias trewavasae. RNAcentral describes it as "partial 12S ribosomal RNA". It matches the Rfam family "Bacterial small subunit ribosomal RNA", at positions 791 to 1533 of the family's 1533-position model. Lineage: Eukaryota; Metazoa; Chordata; Actinopteri; Characiformes; Distichodontidae. The record is from RNAcentral.
UAGCCCACAGCCAACAUCCGCCCGGGAACUACAAGCGCCAGCUUAAAACCCAAAGGACUUGGCGGUGCUUCAGACCCACCUAGAGGAGCCUGUUCUAGAACCGAUAAUCCCCGUUAAACCUCACCACCCCUAGCCUUCCCCGCCUAUAUACCGCCGUCGUCAGCUUACCCCGUGAGGGAUAAACAGUGAGCACAACGGGUAAACCCCAAAACGUCAGGUCGAGGUGUAGCGAAUGAGGUGGAAAGAAAUGGGCUACAUUUUUUAUAAUAAAAUAUUACGAACAGCAAACUGAAAAAAAUGCUUGAAGGUGGAUUUAGUAGUAAAAAGAAAGCAGAGAAUCCUUUUGAACUAGGCUCUGAAGCGCGCACACACCGCCCGUCACCCUCCCCUCCAACAACCCUUUUAAGUAAACUAACACUAAAAAUCAAAACACGGGGAGGCAAGUCGUAACAUGGUAAGUGUACCGGAAGGUGCACUUGGAAAAAU